AGUGAACGCUGGCGGUAGGCCUAACACAUGCAAGUCGAACGGCAGCACAGUAAGAGCUUGCUCUUACGGGUGGCGAGUGGCGGACGGGUGAGGAAUACAUCGGAAUCUACUUUUUCGUGGGGGAUAACGUAGGGAAACUGACGCUAAUACCGCAUACGACCUACGGGUGAAAGCAGGGGAGCUUCGGACCUUUGGCGAUUGAAUGAGGCGAUGUCGGAUUAGCUAGUUGGCGGGGUAAAGGCCCACCAAGGCGACGAUCCGUAGCUGGUCUGAGAGGAUGAUCAGCCACACUGGAACUGAGACACGGUCCAGACUCCUACGGGAGGCAGCAGUGGGGAAUCUUGGACAAUGGGCGCAAGCCUGAUCCAGCCAUACCGCGUGAGUGAAGAAGGCCUUCGGGUUGUAAAGCCCUUUUGUUGGGAAAGAAAAGCAGCAGGUUAAUACCCCGCUGUUCUGACGGUACCCAAAGAAUAAGCACCGGCUAACUUCGUG
Molecule: ribosomal RNA, 492 nt
Filed under: uncultured bacterium
Lineage: Bacteria
Description: partial 16S ribosomal RNA
Rfam family: Bacterial small subunit ribosomal RNA
Source: RNAcentral